This 272-nucleotide ribosomal RNA is filed under the name uncultured bacterium. RNAcentral's name for it is "partial 16S ribosomal RNA". The record is from RNAcentral.
CUGCUGCCUCCCGUAGGAGUCUGGGCCGUGUCUCAGUCCCAGUGUGGGGGGCCUUCCUCUCAGAACCCCUACGCAUCGUCGCCACGGUGGGCCGUCACCCCGCCGUCUAGCUAAUGCGCCGCAUGCCCAUCCGCCACCGGAUCGCUCCUUUGGUCACCGGAGGAUGCCCUCCGGUGGCGUCACGGGGUAUUAGGCCGCGUUUCCGCGGGUUAUCCCCCUGUGGCGGCCAGGUUGCAUACGUGUUACUCACCCGUGCGCCGGUCGCCGGCGGG